RNAcentral lists this ribosomal RNA (253 nucleotides) under uncultured bacterium. RNAcentral's name for it is "partial 16S ribosomal RNA". It matches the Rfam family "Bacterial small subunit ribosomal RNA", at positions 524 to 776 of the family's 1533-position model. The record is from RNAcentral.
UACGUAGGGUGCAAGCGUUAAUCGGAAUUACUGGGCGUAAAGCGUGCGCAGGCGGUUUUGUAAGUCUGAUGUGAAAUCCCCGGGCUCAACCUGGGAAUUGCAUUGGAGACUGCAAGGCUAGAAUCUGGCAGAGGGGGGUAGAAUUCCACGUGUAGCAGUGAAAUGCGUAGAGAUGUGGAGGAACACCGAUGGCGAAGGCAGCCACCUGGGUCAAGAUUGACGCUCAUGCACGAAAGCGUGGGGAGCAAACAGG